This is a non-coding RNA of Picea glauca (white spruce), 46 nucleotides long. Lineage: Eukaryota; Viridiplantae; Streptophyta; Pinopsida; Pinales; Pinaceae. The record is from Rfam.
ACAGGGGCUUUAUUAAAAGCCACUUUGAUAUCUUCAAAAAAUUCUU